GCAGGGACACAAACAACUCGAGUGUCUUUGCGGUCACACGCUCCGCCUCUCGGUCAAUCCAGACAAAUUCUAAGAGUUGUGCCGAAGCUUUUAAGCUGUAAUUGAGGACAGGAUGCCCAGGAAAACCAAAGCCAGCACUGCACAGACCUGGAUUUUUAUAGCUGCUAUAGUAUUCUUGUGCGCCUUUCCCCUCAAGCCAGACAGACACCACAAAAUCGGUCAAGCGUGAUAGGAAGUCACCACCUACACUGACUCAAAGUCAGCAGCUGGGGAAUUUCAGCAACAUAGAAACAUGUGUCUGUACACAGCUAAGGUGACAGAAACGAGGGCGAUGACAGAGAGGCCUGGCGGACCACACAAGGGCUCCAAGGCGAAACUGACCAACUCCACGGUCAACGGGAGCGCCUCCGGCUAGUCAGGGGAGAAUCACAAGGCUGGAUUAGCCUGCAGAGGGUGUCAUGAGAAACAAGGCGCCAGGAGGAGCGGGACUGGACAAAAGGACAUAAAGUGGUGUGGGGAAUAAAAGAAUAUUUACAAAGAGGUCAUUUGAAAGAAUAACAAGGAAUACGAGAAAGAACCAAGACGCGAGUAAAGCGAAAUUAAAGGAUUUCAUCUUCAUUAAUAAAAAUAAAACUCCUCACAAAGUACAAAAUAGAAUAAUGAAAUAGAAAAUUCAUUUUUUUUUACAUAAAAAGCGUUCGGCAAAUAAACCCAGAAAUUGUGAGUAUUCUUAGAAGAUCUUAGUUAUUUUAUUUCUUAUAGGUAACCAGUUGGAUUUCAGUCCUCUAAUAAAUAAAACUAGAAGCCUACAUGCGCCAGAUCUUUGGUUGAGUUCCAGUGUUUAGUUGCGAUCUCCCACAACAUGAAAAAAACGAUCGCUUUGAAAGGACAUUUGAUAAAAUUACACGACCAUGCGACGUUUAGUUUUACUUAAACGAGGAGAGAGAGAAAAUCUGUUUGGGGUCUUAAAACAGGCGCAGUGUGCGUCAAAUAACGCAAAUCCCGACCUGCGUUUCUUUCUUUCUUUCUUACUAAAAAGUCACAUUUUUACACCACAUUAACCUUCAGUAUUUUCCUUUUCUGUUGUAUAUUUUUUCAGCUUGCUCGGCGCUGAAAUGAUCUUCUCAAGAUGUUGACAUCUUGCGGACGCAACGCCGAGUUUCUUGCUUUUUUUCUUUUUUCUUUUUUCUUUUUUCUUUUUUCUUUUUUCUUUUUUCUUUUUUUUCUUUUCUUUUCUUUCUUUUUUCUUUUGUUUAAUUGCUGAAUCUAAGCUCAAAUAAUAAUGGGCGACUUCAAAAAUUCUACUUUCGUUCACAAAUAUAAAUGGCCCUCAUGGUUACCAAAUCAUCGUGAAAUAACGGAUUAUACUUUAAACUGUCAAGUGGAUUUUAAUUCUUUUUUUUUUCUUUACGUGGAUUCACAAACAAAUGUGAAACUCCCACAAUUUGCUUCACUUAUUAUAAAUGAAUCUUCUAAAUCAGGUAAGAUGAUUCAGUGAAUUUGCUAUUUAUAUAAGAGAAGGACAGCAGGUUCUAAAAAACAACAACAGAUGUAUUUCUUUCGUUUCCGUGGAGUCUUUUCGACUUGCCCACAUAAUAAGAAUUCAAGUUAUCACAGAUCAACUGAUCACACAAUUGAUUCGACAUAUUAUGUAUAAUGAUCUUUGUUAUUGUUGACCACCAUUUAAAAUGAACAAUUUUGUGCUGGGGGUGUUCGCAAACCUACAAACGAGUGGCUAGCUUUGACUGACGCAUCCUUGCCGGUACAUCCUUCUUAAAUCUAGUCUGUAUACCCUUCGUGAAUGAAGACAGUACAUUUUGGGGCAUUUAUACAUGAAACCAAAUGAGAUGAUCUGAUAUCCGGACAGGAAACCCGCUCUGUCUAUAAAGACUGAGGCGCCGACUGGGGCAUGGAGGAGGCUUUCAUAUAAUCUCGGUCAAGUGCUUCUAUUGGCCCGCUGUCACGGUCUUGGGUAAGCUUAUGUCCGCUUGGGGUCUUUGUGCUGUAUUACAAGAUUAUCUUCCAAAAUCACGCUAUCAAGCUUGAAAGCUGCACUGCAGGCUAAGUGAAGGUUGCAGGCCUGUCCUCCAUUAUGCUCAGAGACAGCGAAGGUCAAUGUAAAGAGCAACGCAAAGAGCCGGCCCUGAAUGCAGAGCUCAUUCACGGCUGACAGCGCGUGGAGUGAUGUUGUGCAUCGUGUACAACACAGUUUCUACAAUCUAAGCAUGCCAAAUUGUCCAGUGUUAUUUCAUAGGACGCAUUUUUUAUUUAAAGAAAACACUAACAGUGACUUUUGUCCAUUGCUUGUUUUGUUUUUGUUUUAUCAUUACCUUCCACUGUGUAAAUUAAAAGCUGAUAGUAAAAU
Molecule: long non-coding RNA, 2365 nt
Organism: Astatotilapia calliptera (eastern happy)
Lineage: Eukaryota; Metazoa; Chordata; Actinopteri; Cichliformes; Cichlidae
Source: Ensembl